GUGCUCGCUUUGGCAGCACAGAUACUAAAAUUGGAACGAUGCAGAAAAGUUUAGCAUGGUCCCUGCGCAAGGAUGACAUGCAAAUUUGUGAAGUGAUCCAUAUUUAU
This is a small nuclear RNA of Fukomys damarensis (Damara mole-rat), 107 nucleotides long. The record is from Ensembl. NCBI's taxonomy places the organism in Eukaryota, Metazoa, Chordata, Mammalia, Rodentia, Bathyergidae.